Molecule: non-coding RNA, 113 nt
Organism: Acanthosepion pharaonis
Lineage: Eukaryota; Metazoa; Mollusca; Cephalopoda; Sepiida; Sepiidae
Source: the annotation of a GenBank genome assembly
CGUGGUCAUAUCACGUUGAAACACCGGUCUCCGUACGACUACAGAAGUUAAGCUACGUCGAGCCUGUUCAAUAUCUACAUGGGUGAUCCCUUUGGAAUACUAGGUGCUGUAAG